GGCGAUCAGUUAAAUCACCUACUGCCUAGGAGCACUUGAUACCGUGACAUGACUCUAUGAAUAGUGGUAAUAACAUGAUGCACUUUAACCCUCACGCAGCCUUCGAGGGGGUCAGUCUGACCCCACGAGACAAACUAUGAAACUUUUGAUUCUUUUUACGUUUUUGGCCACAAGGCACCUACGCGUCGCAGGAUCCGCUGCGGCUCGGUCACCGCUCCCUUCUUCUUCGUCACAGGCCCGUCCCGCAUCCUCCCGGGGUCCGGCGCGACCCCGGCCCACGGAACCUUCCCGUCAGGCGUCCUGCCGGGGUCCGGCGCGACCCCAGCUCCCUGUACCUCCCCGUCAGGUGUCCUCCCGGGGUCAGGCGCGACCCCAGCCCCAUGUACCUCCCCGUCCCGCAUCCUCCCGGGUCAGGGCGCGACCCCAGCUCCCUGUACCUCCCCGUCAGGCGUCCUCCCGGGGUCCGGCGCGACCCCGGCCCCAUGUACCUCCCCGUCCCUCAUCCUGCCGUGGUCCGGCGCGACCCCGGCCCCCUGUACCUCCCCGUCAGGCGUUCUCCCGGGGUCAGGCGCGACCCCGGCCCCAUGUACCUCCCCGUCCCGCGUCCCCCCCGGGUCAGGCGCGACCCCAGCUCCCUGUACCUCCCCCGUCAGGCGUCCUCCCGGGGUCAGGCGCGACCCCGGCCCCCUGUACCUCCCCGUCCCGCCUCCUCCCGGGGUCAGGCGCGACCCCAGCUCCCUGUACCUCCCCGUCAGGCGUCCUCCCGGGGUCCGGCGCGACCCCGGCCCACGGAACCUCCUCGUCAGGCGUCCUGCCGGGGUCCGGCGCGACCCCAGCCCCAUGUACCUCCCCGUCCCGCGUCCUCCCCGGGGUCAGGCGCGACCCCCGGCCCCCUGACCUCCCCGUCCCCGCGUCCUCCCGGGGUCAGGCGCGACCCCGGCCCCCUGUACCUCCCGGUUCUCAGAGUAAUGGCUGUCUACAAGAAGACGCUGCAGACCAUCGCAGUCAUUUGAUCAGAGCGGAGGGCAGCCAAAGGCCUCAGUAUCUUGAGGAUUACAACAAAAAAAAGGCACAGUGUGACUGUUCCCUAUGAGCCGCCCCAGGUAUCACUGCCUCUCACUUCUGACCUUUCCCCUAACGUAGCAAUUAAAUGUUAUCAUUCUGUUGUGCCUCUCGUUCCGCUUUCACGGUUUGUCAUCCCUGAAAUUACCCGUGCACUAAACGACUACUAUCCUGCAUGUGUUUCAGCCGGGCUCAGAGAUCACCACAAUCCUGUUCAACUUCAUGUGCAACAGCUCCUGCAUGGGAGGCAUGAACCGCGGACCCAUCCUCACCAUCCUGACCCUUGAGACUUCAGAGUACGUAUGGUUUCAUCUACCAGGAUUGGUGUGAGCUGAAAUGUAUUUGCUGGAUAAAGAGUAGUGUUACAUGGAAACCGAGGGUCGACGUGGUGUAACUUGAUCUCCUGCUUUAUCUAUUUGCCUGUUUUAUGUUUAUUUGUUUCUAAAUGUAACUUGAAGUUGAAGUUGUGCAUCACUGUUAUCCCACCUCAAAGAUAGCUUUUGCACCCUUAGUAAAUGUUUUUCUACUGUCUUUUAGCGGACAACUUUUGGGCCGAAGAUGCUUCGAGGUGCGUGUCUGCGCGUGUCCCGGCAGGGAUCGUAAAACAGAGGAGGCAAAUAGUGCCAAACUGCAGACAGGGGCCAAACAAGUGAAGAAAAGAAGUAUGUGUUUGUUUAUUAAUGCUGGGUUUGUCUUUGAACCUUGGCUGUCUUCUAUCUUACGGAUCACGUUUUGCUUUUCUAGAAAGUGCCCCAGCAACAGAUCCUGAUAUGUGCAAAAGGAAGUCUGGCUCAAGCACAGACGAGGAGGAAGUAUUUAUGUUGCCAGUUAGUACACACACAAAGUAUUUAAAAAAUCUAGUGUUGUCACAGAAUUGCAGCUCUCAAUUUAAAUCCUUUUUUUUUCUGCAGGUUAAAGGCCGUGAGCGCUAUAACAUGUUAAAAAAGAUAAAUGAUGCAUUAGAACUGGCUGAAAAAGAGGCGUAAGUAUCUUUAAACUACAACACACACACACACACACACACACACACACACACACACACACACCGAAACUGUGAUCGGAUGUCACUUUGAUAAACAUUAGCUGCUACGGAACAGCUGCAUGAGACUUUCAGCAUUGCAUAGCUGUAGCGUUAAAUACUUUUCCCUUAAACCAGACGUGUCCCAUCUCUGUUCUGCAUGGUCACUGUUUGUUUCCUCUCUCCACAGUAAAAACAAAACUGGGCUUCUAAGGAACUGCUGCCGUCCAGUGGAAAGCGCGUCUUGCAAACAGCAGAACGAAGCGACAGCGACUAGUUGCAAUCUGCCUUCUUUUAACCGCCAUGUACGAGUACGAACAUCUACGAUCAUGACUAUGAAUCAUUGUUUACCUCCCUUUGAUGUUUCUACAUUAAUUCCUGCCAUCAGUCUGAGGGCAUACGUUGAGCAGUAACGUAUUAACAAUUCAGUGGGCCUUUACUAUUUUUAACUACAAAGCCCUUUAAAUAGUUUUUUUUAUCUCCUGCAGGUUAUGUUCAGUGUUGCUUCCUGGCCAACAUCCCUCAGCAGGAGGCUGCACGAUCAUCGAGUUCAGAUGAACUGUGCGACCCCAGCCCCCCUGUACCUCCCCGUCCCUCGUCCUGCCGGGGUCCGGCGCGACCCCAGCCCACGGAACUUCCCCGUCCCUCGUCCUGCCGGGGUCCGGCGCGACCCCUGCCCACGGAACCUCCCCGUCCCUCGUCCUGCCGGGGUCCGGCGCGACCCCAGCCCCCUGUACCUCCCCGUCCCGCAUCCUCCCGGGGUCAGGCGCUACCCCCAGCCCCCUGUACCUACCCGUCAGGCGUCUUGCCGGGGUCCGGCGCGACCCCAUUUUUUUUGUUUUUUAUUUUUCCUUCUCCUUUCCUCCCCUUUACCUCCACCCGUGCCACAGGCCCACUGAUGAUGAACAUGAUGAUGAUGACGACGAACAUGAUGAUGAUGAUGAUGAUGAUGAUGAUGAUGAUGAUGCAAGCAGACAGCUGCGUGCAAGGGCUGACCAUUUUAAAACGAAAAAUAAAACAGACCAAACAGGCA
Molecule: long non-coding RNA, 3113 nt
Organism: Betta splendens (Siamese fighting fish)
Lineage: Eukaryota; Metazoa; Chordata; Actinopteri; Anabantiformes; Osphronemidae
Source: Ensembl